GCCAAAGUCCGAAUGUAAGUCUAACGGCUAGAAAUAUCUAUCAAAAAAUAGAAAAUUUAAAUAUUACAUAUUAAAAUUUACACAAAAUAUAACAAACAAAACGCCUAAAGAAAAAAACCCUUCAAACAGAAUAAGCAAAUAAAUGCAGAGAGCUUGCGAAAGUCUGUGAUAAUGUUCCUACUAUGCCUAGUGUUGUAAUGGUGUAAAUUGGAAUAAGUUCGCUAAACUGGGAGAUGUUAUUAAUUAUGUAAAUUAAACAUUGAUAGAUGUAGGCGCAAGAAAAUGUAAGUAUAAUCCCUGCACCUCAGGCCAACCAUAAUUAUGAUACAUCUCCAUUGAAGCUAACACGUUUCCUGUGCAUAUUGUACUUCAGAAUAGCAUAGAUAACCGUGGUACACAGAUAAAAUAGUAGACAAGGAUGUCAUAGCCCUUAAGGAUCUUAUCAUGAAAAGUUUAACUUGUUGGUUGAUGCAUUUAAGGAAAGUCUAGAGGCCGAAAACCAUUCAUGUGUAUUUUUAUUGCUAUCAUGUCUAACACAGGAUCAGGAGCGGAGUACUGGAUAACAUGAGCAGUAUCAUUUGCAAAAAGUACAGGUUUUAAAUGUUAAACAUUUGGAAGAUCAUUAAUGCAUGUGAGGAAUAGCAGAGGACCAAGAAUAGAACCUUUAUGGAACUCUUGUGGAAGUUAACACACUGUUUAUAAAGCCCACAUAUAUCGACAGUGACCCUGGAGGUCUUACACCAUUAACAUCCAGAUGGCAUAAUUUUAAUUUCUGAAUGAGGAUUCCAUGAGAAACACAAUCAAAUGCUUUAGUGAGGUCAUUAAAAGAAGCCUAUGAAUCCAUGCCCAACUCCCACCAUUCCUUGAUAAUUUCUGUGAAUGUCUCUAAAUAGAUUGUGUUUUUCAAAAUUGAUUGUUAAUUGAUCCUUUGAGAGAAAAUUGGCGAUCAUUUGUUAGUUUAUCUAUAACUCUUAUAAUGUCGGAACUACUUUAAUUCUUUUAAGUGCACUUGGGAAAAUACAGGCAGGAAUACA
Anthonomus grandis grandis is the source of this 1034-nucleotide long non-coding RNA. RefSeq lists it as uncharacterized. The transcript is spliced from 2 exons. The record is from RefSeq and is a predicted model, not a curated record. Lineage: Eukaryota; Metazoa; Arthropoda; Insecta; Coleoptera; Curculionidae.